RNAcentral lists this ribosomal RNA (206 nucleotides) under Klebsiella pneumoniae. Its description in RNAcentral is "partial 23S ribosomal RNA". It matches the Rfam family "Bacterial large subunit ribosomal RNA", at positions 2110 to 2315 of the family's 2925-position model. Lineage: Bacteria; Pseudomonadati; Pseudomonadota; Gammaproteobacteria; Enterobacterales; Enterobacteriaceae. The record is from RNAcentral.
CGUGACACGGAACAUUGAGCCUUGAUGUGUAGGAUAGGUGGGAGGCUUUGAAGCGUGGACGCCAGUCUGCGUGGAGCCGACCUUGAAAUACCACCCUUUAAUGUUUGAUGUUCUAACGUUGGCCCCUUACCGGGGUUGCGGACAGUGUCUGGUGGGUAGUUUGACUGGGGCGGUCUCCUCCCAAAGCGUAACGGAGGAGCACGAAG